RNAcentral lists this long non-coding RNA (4955 nucleotides) under Sus scrofa (pig). RNAcentral's name for it is "lncRNA (ENSSSCG00015032172.1)". The record is from RNAcentral. Lineage: Eukaryota; Metazoa; Chordata; Mammalia; Artiodactyla; Suidae.
UUUUUUUUUUUUUUUUGGCUUUUUAGGGGCCACACCUGUGGCAUAUGGAAGUUCCCAGGUUAGGGCUCAAAUCGGAAUUAUAGAUGCCAGCCUACACAACAGCUUAUGGCAAUGCCUGAUCUUUAACCCACUGGGCAAGGCCAGGGAUUAAACCUGCAUCUUCAUGGAUCCUAGUUGGGUUCGUUACUGUUGAGCCAAAAAGGGAACUCCAUGGCCCUGUCUUAAAUCACUGCAGGACUGGGCACAGGACAGAUGGACACCUCCUCCCUAUAUCCCAGAGCACAUUGAAAUUUUUCAGACAAGUUGAUCCCAAACCUGUCUGCCCUGUUUAACCUGCCCUUCCCAUUUCUUCACAUGAAAAGCACAAGUCUCACACACAUGCUUUCCCCUCACUCUCAAUGACCUGGUGCUUCCUUGUGUGGCCCUGCCUCGCAUGCUGUGCCUCCUCCUUCUAGGGAUCUGUGAGCAUCAACUUCUUCCUUCGUGAGAGUCAUUUCCAUGUCUUACCAUAUUGAUUGAAAAAAAUCCUGGUACAUUUUAAAACAGCAUUCCAUAAGACUCUGCAGCUGCUUAGCUUAUCAUGAUUGUCAUUAACAUCAUAUAAACUUUAAAAAGAGGCAUGGAUUUUGAUAAAUCAGAGCUGGAGUAAAGCCUAUUCUGAAUAAGAAUUAAAAAUCCAUGAGUUUCUGUUGUGACUCAGCUGGCUAAUAACAUGACAUAGUGUCUGUGAGGAUGUGGGUUCAACCUCUGGCCUCACUCAGUGCGUUAAGGAUCUGGUGUUGCCACAAGCUAUGGCAUGGGUUGUAGAUGUAGCUCAGAUCCCAUGUUGCCAUGGCUGUGUCAUAGGCCUCAGGUGAAUCUCCAAUUCAACCCCUAGCCUGGAAACUUCCAUAUGCUGCUGAUGAAGCCAUAAAAAGAAAAAAAAAAAGAGUUAAAAGUUUAAAAUAUCUUAACAGGUUGGACUUAUAGAGACAAAUAGCAUAGGGUAAAGUUUGAAGGAAUUUUAAAAGAAGUGGUGCAUUAAAUGCAGAAUGGGGGAAAUAGGCCUCAAAAUAAUCCAUCAGAAAAAAAAAAGAGAGACUCUGUACAGAGCUGUACAUUUGGAUGGCUUCAUUUCUUGGGAUGAAGCUGAUGGUGUGAAGUGGCUACCAAAAAGACAAAUGCAAAUUUGGGUGGUGCUAACAAUUUGAUUGUCAGUACAAAGUAGAGGCUAUCCUCACUGUAUGAUGUGCUAGUUGGACGAAAUUUGGAGCUUGGUUCCUUUAAAAAUCCUAGGAGCCAAGAAACACAAUUACAGUUGGAAAAUUAGAAUAGUAAAGGAUGUAAAAAUCAUGUUGAAGGAGCUAUAAAAGAGAAAGGCACGUAGCUACUUUAAGCAUCUGAAAUGUUCUCAUGUAAAAGAGGGAACAAAUAUUCUCCUUUUUCGUUGGUAGGUAGAACCAUGUCCAGUAAGUGGAAGUUCAAAAGAAGAAUCUUCACCUCAGUAAGAGGUAAUGGGAAGAGUGGGAUGAAAUUAAACUUCUUUGUUGAGCUUCCAUUAUGUGCAAGACAUAGUACUGUCUUCUACCCACAAACACCUUACUUUCUAAUAUUGAAUGUUCUUACAACACACUAUUGUCAUUCUUCUAAUGAAAAUUCAUAAACUGUUUUAUAAGGAAUUCCAUGGAAGACAGUCUUUGAUAUCCUCUUAGCCCUCUUCUUCUUUUUUUCUUUUGUCUUUUUUAGGGCUGCACCAUGGCAUGUUGAAGUUUCCAGGUUAAGGGUCAAAUCAGAGCUACAGCUGCUGGCCUCCACCACAGCCACAACAACUCGGGAUCUGAGCCUUGUCUGCAACCUACACCAUAGCUCAUGGCAACACCGGUUCCUUAGCCCUCUUAGUGGGGCCAGGAAUCAAACCCAUGUCUUCGUGGAUACUAGUCAGGUUUGUUUCUGCUGAACCACAACAGGAACUCCUAAGCCCGGUUCUAAGAGUGUAUGCUUUGUUAGUUUGCUGUCCUACUGUACGGAAUGAGGCUGGGGAAGAGGCUGGAGUAUUUCUCAAAGUUCCUUAUCUCAAUGUUAUUUACUGGGUGGAGUGAGACAUCUUCUCUUUCUCCAGUCAAUUAAAACUCUGCACCCUGUUGUAUCCUAUAUCAAUACAUUUUUAUCUGCUUAUCUUUUGAGACAGAAUCACAUGCUUAGUAAUUUGUAUUUACUAGGAACUCACAUCAAAUUCAGUAUCAUUUUCAUGGGUCAAGUUACCAACAGAGGUAUGUCUGAGGCUGGGCAUAAACAUGGCAUAUACAGGGAAGAGUUAGAACAUCAUUUGUUACCUGACACUACCUUAAUGGUCUAAAAUAUCUAGAUAUAGAGGUAUUCUUGAUUUUGUGGUCUGCUGUGCUUAUAUGUAGCAUAGGAAAAAAAUUAAAAAGCGCAAUAAAUAACUGCUGUUUUUGUCUCCUAGGGAAGUGGCAUGAUUCUUUCCUAAGAGGAUGGCCUUCUGUUCUUCUGUUGGGUCUUGCUCAUCAGUGAGAAAGAGGAAGCUCUAAGAACAUGGCCUUCUGGAAGAAGACCAGGAAAUGAAGAGACAGGUAAAUUGCUUUGUGUGAAUAUUAGCACUGAUUUGAGGGAGCAAAAUGUUAAAAGAGGGAAAGCGUUCUGAGAGCAGGAGAGAGGGCCAGGCAAGUUGAGAGCAGUGUAGGUGGACAGGGGAAGAAUUCCAGAAAGAAAGGCUGGAUGAGAACUUCCUGGUGAUAGGAGUGGCCGGAGGAAUUCCAGCAAGAUUUAUUUUAAGAGUAAUUCUGUGCAUGGCUGAAAUAUUCUAGCCCUUUGCCACUUAAACAUGUCUUCUAAGAAUAGAGUUCAAGGCAAUAAAGGGACCUUGUGGGCAUGUGAGUUAGCCCUGCACAACAAGAAGAGGACAGUCUUGGGAGGAGAGGUGCAAGUGCAAUGGGAAUAGUUAAUUAAAAAUACAGAUAACCAUGAGAAAGAGAUACAUUUAAGGUGUGUGUAAAAAUCUUAGAGAGGAUAUUGAGCUUCUUAUUAAAGAUGAGAAUAGUGGUUGAAGUUAAUUUUAUGUUAAGUCUCAGAGGACAGAAGGCCCUCAGCUGACAUCUAGAUUGAAUGUGUAAUUGCCUCAAUUCUCAUUUUCACUGUGCUUCUGUAGAAACAUCUUGAAAGUCAAGCUUAUGAAACAAUUACAAACAUGCUCCUGUUAUUCAUAUGGCUCAGCCUUUUUCUUUUUAUUAUUUCACCAAAAAGCCUGAAUUAUUUCAUGUUGAAAGUGGAAAAGGUAAUAUGUCUAUUGGACGGACAUGUUUUUCCAUCUAAAUUAACUCAUUGGUUUUGACCCUUGCAUAUCAUGAGAUAGUUUGGAACUAGUUUCAUAAAUUGGAAAGACAUCUAUUUUUAAUGUGUUAUCUUUAGCAAAAAGCUAGAAUGAGUCAAAACUCACUGUUAAAAAAUGCCCAAGCAAAAUCCAUGCUAUGCCACCUCCCCAAAGAUUUCCUGAAGUUUCAAUUGGUGGUUAAAAGUAUACAUUUCUAAACUGAAAAUCCUAUAGAAAGGUGGCCUCAGAACUUCUCAUGGGCCAGGUGCCUUGAUUCCUCUUGCGCCUAAUCUUCCAUCUGGCAAGCCACAACUCCAGUCACUAGACUAUAUAUCGGUAAACUUUCUUCCUGUAUUUUCUUUAUUGAUCUAGUACAACAGCAUAAAAACGCAUUCCCAAAUUAAAGGAAAGAUGGAAUUGACACUCUAACAGCCUUAGAAUAGUUUCUGCUUUACUAGAUUCUGAACUAUUUUCUCCCUCAAGUUAUUUGAAUGUGAGCCGAGGUGUGAACAAGGCAGGAAUGAGAAUCGAUAAUUAAGCCUGUUCUCUUUAGACCCACUAUGCUGGGAAAUCCAUUUCUUUCCCUCAGCCCGAUUAUUAUUUAGCAUUUAUCCAAUACCCUCAAGCCAGGUCUCCACAGCAGCAGAAUAAAACUUCAGUAAAACGAAACAAAAACUCAUACCAGCAAAAACCCACUUAGCCUGUUUCCAGAAGGGCAUUUUAUUGUCUUGGAGUAAUCAAGUCUUGGAAGAAGAGUCUGGGCAGCAAAAGAGGGGAGCUGUCUUUGUUCUCUGUUUUCUUGGAUGUGAAAUGUCAUACUUCAACCUUUGGGGCCACUAUCAUGUGUGACCAAUGGGGGAAAAAAAUGGAAUGAGGGCCUCUAGAGAGAAGCCUAUUCAAAUUUCUCCAGUCUGCCUUGCUCAGGCAUACCUCCCCCAGUCAUGAAGAGUAUUUCUACCCUCAUUGAUGACAGAGCAGGUCAUAGCAAAUAAGAAAUACUUUGUGAGGAGUUUGUGUCGUGGCUCAGCGGUAACCAACCCAGCUAGUAUCCCUGAGGACUCGGGUUCAAUCCCCAGCCUCCCUCAAUGGGUUAAGGAUCUGGCAUUGCCGUGAGCUUUGGUGUAGGUUGCAGAUGCGGCUUGGAUCUGGUAUUACUGUGGCUGUGGGGUAGACCAGUGGCUGCACCUCCGACUCAACCUCUUGCCUUGGAACUUCCAUAUGCCAUGGGUGAAACCCUUAAAAAAAAAAANCUCCAUGAAGCCUUGCUGACAGACUUUCCAAGGAAUCAGUUAUGGAAGGGAUAGCCAUGUGCCCCCAAAGACAAAAGGAAAAUUAUGACCUGACAAAGAGGUGAUACUGUGUAUUCCCUCCUGCCUGAGCAAGGAGCUCAGUCUGAAUUUGCUACUUCUGAGCUGCGUGCCCUAAUGCAAUGUAGGGAAAUGGGUCACAGCUGGAGACCAACCCUGCUUACAACAUUUCUGUUUACACUAUUUGCCUCUGGAAGACUACAAACCAUCAAAAAAUAAUGCCUCUCCCAUCACCUCCUGUGCUCUGGUGUUGUCCAGAUAUAGCUGCAGGUAUUUAUUUAGUGGCUCUGUACUGGGGCAAUGCACAGAUGCUUUGUUCCAAGAAGAGACAGGGACAACUC